Long non-coding RNA from Eutrema salsugineum, 602 nucleotides. RefSeq lists it as uncharacterized. The record is from RefSeq and is a predicted model, not a curated record. The transcript is spliced from 2 exons. NCBI's taxonomy places the organism in Eukaryota, Viridiplantae, Streptophyta, Magnoliopsida, Brassicales, Brassicaceae.
AGGCCGAUGAUUUUUUUUGGCCGACAUUCUUUCUCCUCCUACGCCGUUGCUUGUUUCACCAGAUCGAUCGUCGUCGGAUUAACCGUAGGGUACACUGUUUCCAGAUCAGACGACGGCGGUGCUGAUGCGGCGGCGGAGAAUCCAUGCGCAUGUGCUUGAUUGACAUCGAAGGUGGAUUUCAAUUUCAAAGGAAACAUAAAGGAACAAAGAGACAUUACACUGAGUUAGGCUGAAAUCUCUCUGAUCAGCCAGUUUAACGUCGGGAAAGCAAAAUAGAGGAUGAGAAACAAUGGGACAGCCAUUGCCUUAACGAGAGUAAAUUGCACCAAGGGCAAGCAACGAAGAAGGGAAGCUGGAAAGGUAUAGCUGAGGAUUUGAUGGUAUGGCCACACCAUAAGACGUAAGGCACAUUCUCAACGACGUUGAAUGAUUCCUAGUAAAUGGGACACUCCAAUCUUUCUUCCUUCGUUGUCUUUCUUCCAUUUCUAGAGGGAUCUAAAGGAGCUUUUCUAUAUUUUGUGGCAUAGAAAUACUCUAAUGUAAUGGUUUACAUUCAGGUUGGUGUCUUCAAAUUAAUGAUUUAUCAAAAUAAUAAUUUUUUU